AGUCUCCUAAAAUACUUAAUGAAUGCCUUAUAGUUUUCAGUAGAAAAUGCAGAAAUACAGUCUAUUUAAAGACCCUAAUAGUUCACCACUUGAGAAGUUGGAAAUUAACAUACCCAUCAGAUUUCUGUGUUUUAAUUAGAAGACGAUAAAUGAAAUGUUUCUUUGAGGACCAGCACAGUAAUUACUAAUCAAUGAGUAUGAAGAAAUUGUUGAAAGUAUUUAUUUUUGUUGUAUUAAAAUUUAGGCUAAAUUUCUGUAUGAUUAGAUAUUGAAGGUUGUGAAAUGUGAAUGAAAACAUGUAAAGUGAGGCUUCACAAAGAAUCUUUUCUCCAUAUUUCUAAAACUUUUGUCCUAUUUAAAAAUACUUGUUUAAAUUAAUGAAAUGAUCGAUACUGUUUUUCCAAAGACGGAAAAGUCUUUCCUUAAAAUACUGUUUUUUUGUCCACUUGUCUUAAGUGUGUGUUCUGAUGCUCUGAAAUGCAAGAGACAUUAAAUUCUUUGUGAAACAUCACUGUUUGAUAAAGGAUAUACGUAUUUAGCAUCCUUGUUUUUCUUUGUGCUAAAGUGGAUACAGCUGUUGGGGCAGAAGAGACGGGACCAGCUGCUGGCCACAUUUCCUGCUUUAUUUUAAAAGGUAGUAUAAGAAAUAAGGAAACAGAGGUAAUAUCAGGGCUUCUGCUGUCUUUUAUUUUUAAAAUGUUCAUAAUUAAGUAUUUUCCAGCAGUCCAAAGAUGUAAGUUAUCCUACACGUAAGAUGUUUUAUUUUGUUACUUGGUUAUGGAAAUGGAAUCUUGUUCUUGCACAACUGUAAAUGUUUUGUUGCUAGAUAAUAUGAUUUUGAGACCUAAAUUAGUCUCUGGUUUUUCAGUCUAUCACAUUUUGUAAAAAUCUCUACUGCACUUGAGCAUGAAUGGGUAGUAGCCAAACUCACAACUUGGAGUGACGGACCUGCUUCUACAAGGGUAGGAUACAAGCCCCACAAUGCAGCUGCAUGGAUUUCAGUGCCUAUGAAUUAUAUAUAUAUAUAUAUACAUAGAUAUAGAAACCAAAAGUAGUUGGAAAUUUAUUUGAAAUGACUAAUUUGUGCUCUUUCUGAAGUAUGUUAAAUGUAGCUUUUGAAACAGAAGCCUUGAAUUGAAAUUUAAUACUUGAACAUUUUUGUAUAUAUUUCUUUGUAUAUAAUUUUGUGCAGAACCAAUGACAAACAUAUGGUGUCAUAAUAAAAUCAGGUUUGUUGAUCUUUC
RNAcentral lists this long non-coding RNA (1244 nucleotides) under Mus musculus (house mouse). RNAcentral describes it as "long non-coding RNA chr7:90444859-90446103". Lineage: Eukaryota; Metazoa; Chordata; Mammalia; Rodentia; Muridae. The record is from RNAcentral.